RNAcentral lists this unclassified non-coding RNA (293 nucleotides) under uncultured fungus. RNAcentral describes it as "partial contains 5.8S rRNA, ITS2 and 28S rRNA". It matches the Rfam family "Eukaryotic large subunit ribosomal RNA", at positions 670 to 961 of the family's 3401-position model. Lineage: Eukaryota; Fungi. The record is from RNAcentral.
AUGGAGUCUAACAUCUAUGCGAGUGUUUGGGUGUCAAGCCCGGGCGCGUAAUGAAAGUGAACGGAGGUGGGAACCCUCUCGGGGGCGCACCAUCGACCGAUCCUGAUGUCUUCGGAUGGAUUUGAGUAAGAGCAUAGCUGCUGGGACCCGAAAGAUGGUGAACUAUGCUUGAAUAGGGUGAAGCCAGAGGAAACUCUGGUGGAGGCUCGCAGCGGUUCUGACGUGCAAAUCGAUCGUCAAAUUUGGGCAUAGGGGCGAAAGACUAAUCGAACUAUCUAGUAGCUGGUUCCUGC